Molecule: ribosomal RNA, 463 nt
Filed under: uncultured Alphaproteobacteria bacterium
Lineage: Bacteria; Pseudomonadati; Pseudomonadota; Alphaproteobacteria
Description: bacterial SSU rRNA
Rfam family: Bacterial small subunit ribosomal RNA
Source: RNAcentral
GAUCGGCCCGCGUCGGAUUAGCUAGUUGGUAGGGUAAUGGCCUACCAAGGCGACGAUCCGUAGCUGGUCUGAGAGGAUGACCAGCCACACUGGGACUGAGACACGGCCCAGACUCCUACGGGAGGCAGCAGUGGGGAAUAUUGGACAAUGGGCGAAAGCCUGAUCCAGCCAUGCCGCGUGGGUGAAGAAGGCCCUAGGGUUGUAAACCCCUUUCAGCGGGGAAGAUAAUGACGGUACCCGCAGAAGAAGCCCCGGCUAACUCCGUGCCAGCAGCCGCGGUAAUACGGAGGGGGCUAGCGUUGUUCGGAAUUACUGGGCGUAAAGCGCGCGUAGGCGGAUCUGCAAGUCGGGGGUGAAAUCCCGAGGCUCAACCUCGGAACUGCCUUCGAUACUGCGGGUCUCGAGUCCGGGAGAGGUGAGUGGAAUUCCUAGUGUAGAGGUGAAAUUCGUAGAUAUUAGGAAG